CAGCCGCCACGGGAAUACGGAGGGUGCAAGCGUUAAUCGGAACUACUGGGCGUAAAGCGCACGCAGGCGGUCUGUCAAGUCAGAUGUGAAAUCCCCGGGCUCAACCUGGGAACUGCAUUUGUGACUGGCAGGCUAGAGUAUGGCAGAGGGGGGUGGAACUCCGCGUGUAGCAGUGAAAUGCGUAGAUAUGCGGAGGAACGCCGAUGGCGAAGGCAGCCCCCUGGGCCAAUACUGACGCUCAUGCACGAAAGCGUGGGGAGCAAACAGGAUUAGAUACCCCUGUAGUCCCUGUCUCUAUACC
RNAcentral lists this ribosomal RNA (301 nucleotides) under uncultured bacterium. RNAcentral describes it as "partial 16S ribosomal RNA". It matches the Rfam family "Bacterial small subunit ribosomal RNA", at positions 509 to 808 of the family's 1533-position model. The record is from RNAcentral.